AACGAACGCUGGCGGCAUGCCUAACACAUGCAAGUCGAACGAGACCUUCGGGUCUAGUGGCGCACGGGUGCGUAACGCGUGGGAACCUGCCCUUAGGUUCGGAAUAACUCCCCGAAAGGGGUGCUAAUACCGGAUAAUGUCUUCGGACCAAAGAUUUAUCGCCUUUGGAUGGGCCCGCGUUGGAUUCGCUAGUUGGUAGGGUAAAAGCCUACCAAGGCGACGAUCCAUAGCUGGUCUGAGAGGAUGAUCGGCCACACUGGGACUGAGACACGGCCCAGACUCCUACGGGAGGCAGCAGUGGGGAAUAUUGGACAAUGGGCGAAAGCCUGAUCCAGCAAUGCCGCGUGAGUGAUGAAGGCCUUAGGGUUGUAAAGCUCUUCUACCCGGGAUGAUAAUGACAGUACCGGGAGAAUAAGCUCCGGCUAACUCCGUG
RNAcentral lists this ribosomal RNA (433 nucleotides) under uncultured bacterium. RNAcentral describes it as "partial 16S ribosomal RNA". It matches the Rfam family "Bacterial small subunit ribosomal RNA", at positions 29 to 507 of the family's 1533-position model. The record is from RNAcentral.